Long non-coding RNA from Passer domesticus (house sparrow), 8840 nucleotides. RefSeq lists it as uncharacterized. The transcript has 3 exons. Lineage: Eukaryota; Metazoa; Chordata; Aves; Passeriformes; Passeridae. The record is from RefSeq and is a predicted model, not a curated record.
UCAGGUGCGCGGCUGUGGGGCGCAGCACGGCUCCCCACCCGCCGCGCCGCUCGGCCUCGUAAUUAGAAGCCUCCACACUCCGCUGCAUAAAGGCAGAUUGCAAGGACAGCGUGAAGCCCUUGUUUGAAGCUGGGGGCACAAAGAUUGCAGUGCCUCUGAUGGAUGGAGACAAAGACUCCGGCACAGGACUAAAUGAAAAUUGACACUGCAGUGUAUCCUAGCUACAGGAAGGAAAGAGGAGGAGGAAGAAAAGGAUGGAGGACAGGACCUUUGGGUGAGAAGAAUGUAAGAGAGUGAGGGGAGUGUCAGUCUGUGUCAUGUAGCCUGUUAUAAAACAGUCACUGACUUCUAUUUUACCACGAUUUCACCACCUUUUUGCAUCUUCUGAGCUGCUGCCAUGGCUUGUUUGUGGGUUCCUCUGCACCUGACCCUCCCCAGCAACACUACAGCUUCUCAUCCCACUGCAGCAGCAAAGCAACCGAGAGAAAACCAAACAGCUCAGGCAACUUGAACACAGCACAGCAACAGACUGACAAAAAGCAGCAAAGCCAAAAGUGCUUGAAUAACAAAACUGAGGAAAAAAACCCCAGUAGAGCCACUCAGAAACUGUGAAUUGCCAGACAAGCUCCCUUGGAAAGAGCAUAAGAGGCAGGUUCAGGGAAGAGCAAUAUCCAUAAGGCAACACAGCGUCAGUGUUUUUUUCCCCCUAUUUAUAAUGACGAGUUAACAGAGGCUGGAAUAGAACAAAACAUGGAAGACUUUCAUAGUAAAAAUCAGGACACUGUGCCAAGGAUGUCUGCCCUGAAAUCAAGUUAUCCAUGAACUCACAUUUGUAGGCACUUAAAAACUAGCAAGAUCAUUAACAAGCUAACAAGAACCACCAGCAAAAGGAACAUAACCUGGAUUCACUAAAGUGUUUCAUUCUGAAUCAUGAAAGGGCAAAGGCAUCCAGACACUGAGUUGCCACAGCUAAAAAAAAACCUAACAAAAGAUGCUGUGAUGCACGCUACCCUACCUUUUCCAUACCAGUACAAAUGCUGCUACAUCAAAGUGGACUCCAUCCUACUGCCAAUCUGCCUGUCUUGUGCUCUCCCCACUGUUCAAAAAGUACAGUAAUUUCAUAAGUGCUACAACAUCCUCCAGAAAACCAGACUGGAACAAACACUGAACAGCUCAGCUCAAGAAUUUCCUUUGUUCCUCUGCACAGACUCAUUGAACCACUGAGCUCCAUGACCAGCCCACUGCUCUUUGGAAAUCAGCAGUUUCAAGGGAGCAAGGCAACCUUAGAGUGUGGGAUCUGCAAGGACAUCUCUUGACUUGUGACUAUUUCUCAUUCACCAGGGUUUGAGGAAAUACACCAUGGGUAGUCCUGCUUUGGCAGUUCAUGCCAACCUUGAAACCUGCAGUGGUUUUGCUUUGGUUGGCAGCAUACAGGGACAAACCUGUUUAUGCCUUCCUUCUGAAAUGAUCUUACAAGCUUCAGAUCCACUUUUAUGCUGGUUGUGUCACGUAUUUCAGCAAAGAGCAGCAUGGUUUCAUCACGUGGUAGAUCUGCUCUAAUUUUUCCGCAGCAAGACGUGUAGUCACCUGAACAAAUCUUUUCACCAGAUCUUUCUGGGGAACUGAUGAUGAAUACAAAUUUGGGGAACUACAAAGAGGUAAGCUGUAGAGAGCUUUUGAAUGUUUACAAGCUGAUCCAGAUCUGUGGCAUUCAGAAACUACGUAAAACCAACUUCACUUCUUCCAACUUCCCAUGUUACAAAGAGUUUGCAUAAACUACUUCACAGAUCCUAGAUUUAUUUAAGAAAGCACCUCAGCCAGCACCUUUCUUCCAGCCCAGCUCACACUCUCUGCAGCUCUGCUCCCAAGAGGACAUGCAGUAAAUCCCAUCAAAGCAGUGGGAGAGCCCAGCCUGGCCAUGGAGCACGGUCAGAAAAAAGGUUCCUGCCCAAUGUGGAGGGGCAGGGGAGCAAUCCUGGUCUCCUAUGCCCUGGCUUGUGGGCUCCCAGGCUCCCAGAAGAGCAGGCCUGCCUGUGCUGCCAGCAGUGAAGCCAUGCAGAGCUGGCACGGCUCCUGAUGACCCUGGAGAUGGCAUCAGGCAGAACUGUAUGAGAUCAGACAAGGAGGAGAACAGAAAGGGAACAAGAGAUUCCAGAGGGCUCUUCUGCCUCUGAAUCUUGUUACUGUUGACUCCUUUACCGUGAUUAACUCCUUGACAUCCUCCUUCUGUGACAAGUGGGGGAGGACAGACUGAACUCAGUGAUUAAUUUAUCAGUGAAUUGCCUCCUUCCCCUUCAAACCUCGCCCCCACUGAUAUCUUUAUGAUUUAGCACCACCUCAUGAGGGGUUUACAGCCUCAUGUUUUACAGGUUUGGCAGUUGUCACUUCACCACUGAGAAACUCCAUUCGGGACAUUGUAUGUUCCUUCAACAGACCUGGUGGUAAUGGUUUGCAAGCUUCAGCCUACCCCACAAGCUCUGCAUGAGGAAAAGAAAUCCUCUCCUCCUGAACCUCUUGCUCAAAUGACAGUAAUUAGGGAAUCUCAUCACUCUAGACCUGGAGAGGGAGGGGACUUUCACGGUAAUUGGAGACAUUAUAUGAAGCCACACUGUGCUUAUAAAAAAAAAAAGAGUAAAACCACACACAGAGGAAACCAGCCCCCUUCUUCCAACCUGGCUGGCAUUUCCUGGAUAAACUGCCUUUUUUCAGGCACAUCGUGUGCUUUUUAAUGCUGGAGACUACUGGAAGGACUCCUGCAGCCCGAUUAAGUGUAAUGCAGUGUAAAAAAAUAGAAAGGAGGGGGAAAACCCUCGGAAAGGCAAUCGAAGUGAAAAAUCUAUCAACAGCACGGGGGCUCCAGGGGAGCCAGGAGUCCUGUUCUGAACAUGCUCCGACUUCCCAGUCGUUUGCUCUGCCGGACACUCCGGGGACCCCAGCACAGCAAACUACAAUUUCUAGUAAAUAUAUCCCAGGGACACAAUUAGUUUUUCAGCUGGGGGCAUGAUAAAUUGGUCAUGCAUAAUUCAAGGCCAGCACAGGCUGAGCAUAAACUGCUCGGUGGCAGCUUCCAGCUCCCUGACAGGAGAAUGCAAAUGUGCUGCUGGCGCAGGGGCUGCCGGACCCGCUGCUGCCUGCACCUCCCUGCCUGCUCCCCUGCCCACAGACCACUCCAGCCCUUCCUCCUGUGCAUCCCUGGGUGAUUUUAAUUUCACAGCCAUGUAUCCAUCACUGUCCGGUGGCCUUUGGGGACCCAGUGCACAUUGUUAUCACAACAAAUACCGCUCUCUGCUCGAGCUACUCUGUUUUUUCCAUAUGCAGGCACAAGAGAAUGGUUUUGGCACAGAAAGAGGCCGAGGGACUGUGUGGUCUAUUGUCAGCACUAGAUGGCCUGGGGCAAGUAAUUUCCAAUCUGCUUCAGUGUUCCCAUCUACACAAUGGAGAUAAUUCCAACCACGCAACUGCAGAGUUAGCGAGACACGCUCAGUUUGGAGUCUGAUAAAGGUCUGAGAGAUCCUGAGGAUGUGCAGCCUGCACAAACAACACUGUCAACUUCUCUGAGCUUAUUUUAGGUAUCUCAAUAAAUACAUCUGCCUGCUCAAAGCAGGAGCACAAGAGAACUCGCUGCUUCACGGAAGCUGGCGUAGUGAUACAUGAAGUGAAAACUCCAAAGAAACUUUGGGAGGCCUUCAAAAUGAUGUCCUCGAGUUCCUCAGUGCAUUCCAGUACACACUGGAAAAUUCUGCUAGAAAAAUCAUUAUAGAUACAUUCUCAGAUACAGCCAUGUAAGUGAAGGCUGACAGACACGUUUCACCAGCUGCAGUUUUCCUAUCUACCAAAAUCACGAAACCACUCCUCUGGAUCCACUGCCAUUUUCUGGCAUUUUAAGUCCAGUUUGUGGAAAAUAUUCUCAAAAAGGAGGGCUGAAAUGGAAUGGGGCAUUAACAAAGAAAAAUUUUGUUUCAUUUUGGCUGUGUAUCUGUAGAUAUGAAAGCCCUUUAAUUUCAUGGUCAGUUUCACAUACCCAAAUAGGCGAGUUUGAUUUACCUAAUAGUGAAAAUAAUCCAGGUCUGUCUGUUUAUUUUAACAGAAAUACUCUUUGGGAUUUUUUUUUUCUGAACUCUCUUGCACAGAGCUGGGUUUUCCUUGAAUGAGACAAAAUAAAAUAAAAUCCAAGAUUUUAUACCUGCAGAGAUACAGAGGGUACAAAUCCAUGGAGCACAGAUGUUAAGCAUGGUUAAGACUGAACAUGCUCAUCAACUUCAGUCACACUAUUCUGCCAGUACUCAAAGUAACCCUGUUACUGAGUCCAGGGAAAAACCAAACAGUAACAGUAAGGAUACUUUUUUCUUCCAAUUUAUUUUUAAACAAGUACUUCUUAUCCAAGGAGUCAGGACCCUUUUGGCAAGACCACCACAGAGGAAAUCUCAAUGCUCAGUUCAGUGCAACCCUGCUUUGAAAGGGCCAAUGCCCUCUGUCAUCCUCUUGUAACAGAUGCUCUCCGACCAAGCAACAUCCACCCUCUGACAUCCUUUGUGGAGAAGGUAAGAAGUCUAAUGUAGCUGAACAUUUCACUCAGUCUUUGCCUUCCCAACUAAACCAGUGUGCACUUGUGUGCACAUAUACACACAUAAUUAUCUGAAAAGCUAUUACAAAAUUUCAUUUUGGACUAGAUUAACUACAUUAGUGCUUCAGAAAUAAACCACAUAUUUAACUGAACUUCCAGAGUUUUGUAUGAUUCAGCAAGUUUGUCUUGUGUGGACACCUUCACCCCUGAAAGAGAUCCUUCAAUGACAAACCAUUUAUGAAGCUGAAUUACUGGGACAAGGGUGAUGGUGCUCCUGAGGCUGAGACAUUUGCAGGACUGAAUCUGAAGACUGGAUUUUGGUCCCAAAAGGUUUUUUAGUCACAAAGAAUAUGCAGCUCUGACAGUUUCUGAUGUUUGCCAGCAGACUUUUUAGGAGCUGGUGAGUGCAACAAUUUCACCAACAAUUUCAAGUGUUGCCAAACUAAAUUCUGGGCUGGAACAUAAGCCAAUUACAGAGCAGGAGCUGAGGGUGAACUGACUGAUCACUCACUCUUGGUAAGAAUAACACUUCCUGCAAGACACCAAGCCCCUUCCUCUCCCAAUUAAACAAAAAAAUAUACAAACCUCUUAAAAUUUAAAUAGUGUUUCAAAGGUCAGCUCUGUUCACAUCAGCCAACAGGGAUUAUAUUAAAAAAACUCCACUAUGAACAAAAUUUUUUUACUCUAGUGAAAACAGCAAGAACAAAAUAGUGCUAAUGAGCAUUGUUCUUUCUACAAACAUUGGUAGGCUUUUUAUCUUCAUACAUGAAAAUCUUCUCCAUUAAGACAAGAUUUCCUGGCACACUAAUUGUUGUCCCAGCUAUAAGGGCUGUCCAUCUCACAGCAACCCACAGAAACAUGGAAUGGUUUGGGUUGGAAGGGGCUUGAAAUCCCAUUUAGUUCCAACCCCUUUGCCAUAGGCAGGGAUGUCUUCCACUAAACUGUUCAAAGCCCCUCCAGCCUGGCCUUUAACACUUAAUUCCACCUGUAGAAAAAAUGUGUGCUCUCAGCUGGGCAAGGUAAAAAGAGCAAGGAGGAAGCUUCAAGAUGCCACAGCAACACAACUCUCCUCUGGGAUAACCACUGCAGAAGACUGUCCAUAAAUAUGGUGAUGCUUGGAGAAGCAAUACCUGUGUAGUCACCAUCCUGCAGACAGAACUCUGCAUUUCAUUUACACAGCUCAUAUCUACAACACACAGUAAGCGGAGCCUCCCAGGCAUUUACAAGGCUAGAAAAUUAAAACUGCAGUUUGGUCCGAAAUACUAAAAAACCCUUGGUAGUUUCACAGAGCCAAGAGCCUCUGAGAGAGGCUGAACCAGCAAUUCCUUUCUGAGCUUCCACUGGAAAAAGAUUAGAAGAACAUUACAUAUAAUAUACCCAUAUGCUUUGUUUUGCUUGCUUUUUGUUUUGCCUUUUAAGAAACUUCCCCUCCAGAAUAUUAAAAGUAACAAAUUUUAAAAAUUUUUUAACAAACACUAACCUCAGAUCAUUAGCCAACCUGGCAACAGACCAGAGAAAAUUUAUAGCCGACGUGCAACAUCAGCUUUCAUCCAGAAAUGCUAAUUUCAGUAAAAUGAAUAGUGUGUGGGCUUUUCAUACUGCUUUGCAUUUGGCUCCUCACAGCCCUGUUUAAAGCCUGGGAACCGGCCAUAUAGUUAAACUGCACAGAUGUUCAACAAUCUGUACUUGUGUUAAUUACCCUAAUGUGAGCAGAAACUCAACAGAUCCCUGCUAAUGAAGGAGAAAGUUUUCCAGUGUGACUACCGUAUGUUUCAUUGUCACUGUAUUACCAAGCUUCUCCCCCUCCUUCCCCUGCCCCCCCAGCUCCCAUUCUCUGCAGCUCCUUUGCAUUCACAUCACCCUCCUACCUCAGCAUGCAUGAAUUGGACCAACUAAUGACUGUGUAUUCGCAACAUGGCAGACACCAUUAGGCUGAUCGGAGGUGCGGCUGCUGAAUUUUAACAGCCAGUUUUAAACAAGCGUCUGUCUGCUCCGCUCCCUGCUGCCAAUCAUCACCUCCAGCCACCUCUCUCAAAGCAAUCUGCUCAGCAAGCAGCAGGCACAGGGGGCUGGGGAAGGGCAACUGCCUUGCCCCAGUAAGCCCCAGGUGACCUCUGAACGAUACCAGCCCUGGCCUGAGCCAGAGUUCACAUCUCCCAGGUGCCAGCACUUCACAGGCAAGCCAGUCUGCACCAGCAAAUUGUAUUACAAUGACCCUCAUGGGAACAAAUGUACUCGCCGUGCUUGACUUGACUGGCAGACUCCCACCCCAGAGGAAGGGGGGGAGGCAGUCAACUUUGCUCAUUUAUUACAUCCACCCUGCUAGGUCAGCCUCUUUGUUCACAGAGCCAACAACUGCAAACUCAGAGAUGGGGCAGCAGCUGCCAUCCAGAGAGCUCAGCAUGUUCCACCCCUCUGCUCAGGACUGGGCACUGGCUGCCAGCUCUCCACCCGACAAAGCUCGAGCUCCCCCUCAAAAACCUUGUUCUUCAUGAAUUGAGGAGACGGAGGAGGAACGGCACACAAAAAGGUGGGGAGGGGAUCCAGCAUAACCCAGAAAGAGGUGAAAAUUAUUUAGAGAGCACUUGGCUCUUUUCUCCUACCUCUUCAUCAUUAGCACUGGAAGCAACACAGCUGUCUAAUGGCAACUUCAGACACCCAUGGGCCAGCAAAGCGACAUUUUCCACACUUAAAUAACACUGAGCUGAUUUAAUUACUGCACUUAAUAGUAACAAAAGAUGUCUCAAUUUAAUCUUCAAAUGGCCCUCCAAGAUCAAAACACAGCUGGCUGGAUAACAAGAUGGCCUAGGCCAGCAAACAAGUAGGUCCAAUUUGCUCAAGAGCUGCAUCCACUCCUCAGUAUGAAAGGCCAAGGAACACUUGUGUGUGGAGCGAAUCAAAGGAAGCAGCGCUCCCAUCGCCCCCUCCCUCCCUGCCCGACUUCUGUUGUGGAGAGGAAAAAUAAAAAGGCAGCUGAUUCACGGGUAAAGAAACGCAACAUGAUAAAAGAACAAAUGAUUAUGUUUGGGAGAGAAAGAAAAGAAGUAAGAAUCAAGAUUUAACAGGUUUUGCUUUUAUAAUCCUUCAAGACGAUUAGGAAUGAAUGAAUCAGAUUAAAAUCACAUGGAGACAAAGGGAGGUCUCUAACUCUUUUGUUUUUCUUUCCAUACUGGACAGAAGGAGAUGGCUCAUUAAGGAAAGCCCUCAAGACACAGCUAUAGUGAGGAACAACCAAGAUUAUUUUUUGGGCAAGAAAAGUAGAGAAAAAUUAACCAUUUACUUCUAAUAUUCUCUAAUUGUCCAUACUGGGCAGUGAUUGUUACUUUUUGCAAACUAUUCUAAGAAAUGUCCCUCUCUUGAGCAGCUUUCAACGCAUACUCCUGCUGACACAGGGGCCAGGCCUCUGCAGGCACCUUCCCGAAAUUGUCAAGCUUUUGCACGUUCCAUUACAGCUAAACACAGAAAGGUUACAGCCAAUCUUUCUGCCACUGCAACAUUUCUGCGAUCCCGAGCGGCAGGAAAGUCUAAGUAAGCUCUCGUGAUAUACCUGGGAUGUAGCUUUCCAACUCCCCCUUCCAGCUACUGAGAGCAACACGAGUGCACAUAGCCCACAUUUUGGACCUAAUUUUACUAGCAAUAAUUAAAAACAAGUUUGCUAUAAACCAGGUUGUUGAGCUUUGUGGGGUUACUCUGGAUGAACAAGAGUCUGUGGGAUAUUGUUGCUGAAAGCUUAGAAAGUUUUCUCUAGUAAUUUUUCCUGAACUUUUUCUCUUGGUGGAGAACUAGGAUGAGGCAACUGAAGUGUAACAAUUUUCUUGGAGUCCUGGAUCAUGUUUCUGGGGAAUAUGGUUUCUUUGGGUUGUGUUUUUCAUUAAAUACAGAGCUUAUUUCAUCAACAGCAGUUCUUAAGCAACAGAUGAUGUCACUGGCCACUGCACCAUGAAUGUAGAAGACUGGGGACAUGGGGAAAUUCCCUCCAACUCUGGUAACUCCCCCCUCCUCUCCCUGGACUGUGACACGACAGAGGAAGAUAAUGUCCACGUUUAUAACAAUCAGAGCCAGACAAACCACUGGUUUCCUCGAAUACCCUGGCAGGGAUGAGAUGUCUGAUCAGAAUCACUGAAGCAGGAGGGGUUGGGAGAGGUCUUCUCCUCUACAGGGCUAAAUCUAUAUUCAAUUGGGUUUUAAAGGGCAUGGGUUAUCUGAGUUUGCAUGCAAAUUUCAGACUAAUUCCCUCAUUGUUUAUUUAAGUACCUUUCUUUCCCAGUGACUUUGA